This 510-nucleotide ribosomal RNA is filed under the name uncultured Undibacterium sp. RNAcentral describes it as "bacterial SSU rRNA". It matches the Rfam family "Bacterial small subunit ribosomal RNA", at positions 371 to 874 of the family's 1533-position model. The record is from RNAcentral. Lineage: Bacteria; Pseudomonadati; Pseudomonadota; Betaproteobacteria; Burkholderiales; Oxalobacteraceae.
AUGGGGGCAACCCUGAUCCAGCAAUGCCGCGUGAGUGAAGAAGGCCCUCGGGUUGUAAAGCUCUUUUGUCAGGGAAGAAACGGAGUUCUCUAAUAUAGGAUUCUAAUGACGGUACCUGAAGAAUAAGCACCGGCUAACUACGUGCCAGCAGCCGCGGUAAUACGUAGGGUGCAAGCGUUAAUCGGAAUUACUGGGCGUAAAGCGUGCGCAGGCGGUUUUGUAAGUCUGAUGUGAAAUCCCCGGGCUCAACCUGGGAACUGCAUUGGAGACUGCAAGGCUAGAGUGUGUCAGAGGGGGGUAGAAUUCCACGUGUAGCAGUGAAAUGCGUAGAGAUGUGGAGGAAUACCGAUGGCGAAGGCAGCCCCCUGGGAUAACACUGACGCUCAUGCACGAAAGCGUGGGGAGCAAACAGGAUUAGAUACCCUGGUAGUCCACGCCCUAAACGAUGUCUACUAGUUGUCGGGACUUAAUUGUCUUGGUAACGCAGCUAACGCGUGAAGUAGACCGCCU